GAUGAACGCUGGCGGCGUGCCUAAUACAUGCAAGUCGAGCGAAUGGAUUAAGAGCUUGCUCUUAUGAAGUUAGCGGCGGACGGGUGAGUAACACGUGGGUAACCUGCCCAUAAGACUGGGAUAACUCCGGGAAACCGGGGCUAAUACCGGAUAACAUUUUGAACCACAUGGUUCGAAAUUGAAAGGCGGCUUCGGCUGUCACUUAUGGAUGGACCCGCGUCGCAUUAGCUAGUUGGUGAGGUAACGGCUCACCAAGGCAACGAUGCGUAGCCGACAUGAGAGGGUGAUCGGCACCACUGGGACUGAGACACGGCCCAGACUCCUACGGGAGGCAGCAGUAGGGAAUCUUCCGCAAUGGACGAAAGUCUGACGGAGCAACGCCGCGUGAGUGGUGAAGGCUUUCGGGUCGUAAAACUCUGUUGUUAGGGAAGAACAAGUGCUAGUUGAAUAAGCUGGCACCUUGACGGUACCUAACCAGAAAGCCACGGCUAACUACGUGCCAGCCGCCGCGGUAA
Molecule: ribosomal RNA, 515 nt
Filed under: uncultured bacterium
Lineage: Bacteria
Description: partial 16S ribosomal RNA
Rfam family: Bacterial small subunit ribosomal RNA
Source: RNAcentral